GAAGCUAAAGGAUUUAUUCACUUCCCGAGGGGCUCGCGGGCCAUCAGCUUGUUGGUGAGGGUAACGGCCCACCAAGGCGACUACGGGUAGCUGGUCUGAGAGGAUGGUCAGCCACACUGGAACUGAGACACGGUCCAGACACCUACGGGUGGCAGCAGUCGAGAAUCAUUCGCAAUGGGGGAAACCCUGACGAUGCGACGCCGCGUGGAGGAUGAAGGCCUUAGGGUUGUAAACUCCUGUCAAGAGGGAAUAAGCAAGUGAAGGUACCUCUAGAGGAAGGGGCGGCUAAUUCCGUGCCAGCAGCCGCGGUAACACGGAAGCCCCGAGCGUUGUUCGGAUUCAUUGGGCGUAAAGGGUGCGUAGGCGGCGCGGAAAGUCCGGCGUGAAAGGCAGGGGCUCAACCUCUGGACUGCGUUGGAUACUUCCGUGCUUGAGGACUGGAGGGGAGACUGGAAUUCACGGUGUAGCAGUGAAAUGCGUAGAUAUCGUGAGGAAGACCGGUGGCGAAGGCGAGUCUCUGGACAGAUCCUGACGCUGAGGCACGAAGGCUGGGGGAGCGAACAGGAUUAGAUACCCUGGUAGUCCCAGCAGUAAACGAUGUGAGCUUGAUGUGGGGGGAUUCGACCCCUUCCGUGUCGAAGCUAACGCGAUAAGCUCACCGCCUGAGGAGUACGGCCGCAAGGCUAAAACUCAAAGAAAUUGACGGGGACCCGCACAAGCGGUGGAGUAUGUGGCUUAAUUCGAUGCAACGCGAAGAACCUUACCUGGCCUUGACAUGCAUUGUGUCGUCGGUGAAAGCCGGCUAGUCCUGGAAACAGGACGCUUUGCACAGGUGCUGCAUGGCUGUCGUCAGCUCGUGUCGUGAGAUGUUGGGUUAAGUCCCGCAACGAGCGCAACCCUUGUGGUCAGUUACUAACCGGCUUAGCCGGAGGACUCUGGUCAGACUGCCCUGUCAAACGGGGAGGAAGGUGGGGACGACGUCAAGUCAGUAUGGCCCUUAUGGCCAGGGCUGCACACGUACUACAAUGCCCGGUACAAUGUGAACCGAAACCGCGAGGUGGAGGAAAUC
RNAcentral lists this ribosomal RNA (1069 nucleotides) under uncultured organism. RNAcentral's name for it is "bacterial SSU rRNA". It matches the Rfam family "Bacterial small subunit ribosomal RNA", at positions 197 to 1273 of the family's 1533-position model. The record is from RNAcentral.